Molecule: ribosomal RNA, 604 nt
Filed under: Symbiodinium sp. Mp
Lineage: Eukaryota; Dinophyceae; Suessiales; Symbiodiniaceae
Description: partial Bacterial small subunit ribosomal RNA
Rfam family: Bacterial small subunit ribosomal RNA
Source: RNAcentral
AUGGAGAGUUUGAUCCUGGCUCAGGACGAACGCUGGCGGCGUGCUUAACACAUGCAAGUCGAACGGAAAGGCCCUGCUUUUGUGGGGUGCUCGAGUGGCGAACGGGUGAGUAACACGUGAGUAACCUGCCCUUGACUUUGGGAUAACUUCAGGAAACUGGGGCUAAUACCGGAUAGGAGCUCCUGCUGCAUGGUGGGGGUUGGAAAGUUUCGGCGGUUGGGGAUGGACUCGCGGCUUAUCAGCUUGUUGGUGGGGUAGUGGCUUACCAAGGCUUUGACGGGUAGCCGGCCUGAGAGGGUGACCAGCCACACUGGGACUGAGACACGGACCAGACUCCUACGGGAGGCAGCAGUGGGGAAUUUUGGACAAUGGGGGAAACCCUGAUCCAGCAAUGCCGCGUGUGCGAAGAAGGCCUUCGGGUUGUAAAGCACUUUUGUCAGGGAAGAAAUCCUUUGGGCUAAUACCCUAGGGGGAUGACGGUACCUGAAGAAUAAGCACCGGCUAACUACGUGCCAGCAGCCGCGGUAAUACGUAGGGUGCAAGCGUUAAUCGGAAUUACUGGGCGUAAAGCGCGCGUAGGCGGACUAUUAAGUCAGAGGUGAAA